Small nucleolar RNA from Nannospalax galili (Upper Galilee mountains blind mole rat), 130 nucleotides. The record is from Ensembl. NCBI's taxonomy places the organism in Eukaryota, Metazoa, Chordata, Mammalia, Rodentia, Spalacidae.
CCUGAAGUCUGUCUCCAUGGGCUUCUCCAGUAGCCACAGCGUUGGAAAUGCCUCAUACAGUAACUCUUGUGGUUUUGCUUGACUCACAGGACUGUUUCUCAGGUUUAAGGGAAAGAACUACAAGACAGUU